Phyllopteryx taeniolatus (common seadragon) is the source of this 843-nucleotide long non-coding RNA. RefSeq lists it as uncharacterized. Lineage: Eukaryota; Metazoa; Chordata; Actinopteri; Syngnathiformes; Syngnathidae. The transcript has 3 exons. The record is from RefSeq and is a predicted model, not a curated record.
ACGUGGCGGCCAUGAUGGUAGGAGUUCUAUCUAUUGUCGCGUCGUGCUCCGCGCAGGGAGAGCGCACAUGGCUGCGGUGUUAACUUCCAGAGGAAUACGAAAAACAAGUCUCUGGAGUCUGGAACAUGCUAAUUCUGGCACAGUAGCAGGUCAAGCUGUUCUUCUAUGGCAACGGAUUUGGAAGUAGCGAGCACACUAAUUCCUCGCGGCUCCUGAAAGUGACCAUUUUUGACUUGCCAAUGAGUACGUCAUCAUGAAUGUCAACGUCAAGCACACCAAUGAGUUUCUUGGCACCAAGAUGACACCAGAUGGCACCAAAACUGUUACUGCUUUGGCCUGAGCACAAAAACAGCAAAUAGGGGUUGAACCGAUGAGACGACGAGUUGACUUUACUACUCCACAUUGACAUUUAAAGUUGAGUAAUCACUAAUUACGUGUUUUUGGCAUCUUGUCUUCCGAUUGCCCAAAUUAUACAGGAGUUACGACUCGCCUGUCUGCUGCCCUCGCAGGACUAUAACACUCUUUAGAGCAGCGAAAUGUCCGCUCGACAUAGUCUUCAUAUGUAUGCGCCAGUACGAACAUAAGCUGGUUGUGGCACCGGCAGGACCAAUCGGAGCAAGGGCAGCGUCAUGAAGUGAAUCUCCAUCUUUGUAACCAACAUUUUAUGUCCAAUAAUGCGUGGACAGCAACGGUGCGAUUACGAGAACUUCAUUUGUAUCACAACACGCACUCACCAACAUCACACAACACAUGUCACAGGACGGCAUACGGCCAUACAAGUGUGUGGAAAUAUUUUGCCAAAAAAUAAGCCCAGUAGCAUGGUGAAAAAUAUAUAAGUCUAUC